GACGAACGCUGGCGGCGUGCUUAACACAUGCAAGUCGAACGGAAAGGCACUGCUUUCGUGGGGUGCUCGAGUGGCGAACGGGUGAGUAACACGUGAGUAACCUGCCCUUGACUUUGGGAUAACUUCAGGAAACUGGGGCUAAUACCGGAUAGGAGCUCCUGCUGCAUGGAGGGGGGUGGAAAGUCUCGGCGGGCGUGGAUGGACUCGCGGCUUAUCAGCUUGUUGGUGGGGUAGUGGCUGACCAAGGCUUUGACGGGUAGCCGGCCUGAGUGGGUGACCGGCCACAUUGGGCCUGAGAUACGGCCCAGAGUCCUACGGGAGGCAGCAGUGGGGAAUAUUGCACAAUGGGCGGAAGCCUGAUGCAGCAACGCCGCGUGCGGGAUGACGGCCUUCGGGUUGUAAACCGCUUUCGCCUGUGACGAAGCGUGAGUGACGGUAAUGGGUAAAGAAGCACCGGCUAACUACGUG
This 468-nucleotide ribosomal RNA is filed under the name uncultured bacterium. RNAcentral's name for it is "partial 16S ribosomal RNA". It matches the Rfam family "Bacterial small subunit ribosomal RNA", at positions 28 to 507 of the family's 1533-position model. The record is from RNAcentral.